Non-coding RNA from Hemiscyllium ocellatum (epaulette shark), 1061 nucleotides. The record is from the annotation of a RefSeq genome assembly. Lineage: Eukaryota; Metazoa; Chordata; Chondrichthyes; Orectolobiformes; Hemiscylliidae.
GGGACAGGAGCACACACCAUGAUUUCACACAUCCAGCUGAUCUGGCCCCUGGCAUUCUGUGUCACAGGUAUCAGUGGGGACAUUAUCAUGACUCAGUCUCCCCCGGUGCUGUCAGUGGGACUGGACCAGACCGCAACACUCACCUGUACGGCCAGUCAAAGCAUUAGCAGCUCCCUUGCUUGGUACCAGCAUCGAGAAGGUCAGAAACCCUCUGUCUUGAUCUACAGUGCAGCAACUCGAUUCACAGGAGUCUCCGAGCGAUUCACCGGCAGUGGAUCAGGGACCAGUUUCACCCUGACAAUCAGCAACGUUCAGAAUGAGGAUGUCGCUGACUAUUACUGUAUGCAGCAUUACAGCACAUUCACGUUCGGUCCAGGAACCAAGCUCAGACUGAGCCGUGAGAACUCACAGCCCAAGCUGACCCUGCUGCCCCCCUCCCCGGAGCAGGUCAAUGCCAAGGGCACUGCCACCCUGGUGUGCCUUGCCAAUCACUUCUAUCCCGAUGAGCUGGAGGUGCAGUGGAAGAAGGACGGUGCAGUCAUUUCGGACGGGGUUCAGACCAGCAACUACCUGCGAGCUUCGGACAACACCUACAGUGUCAGUAGCCUGCUGACCCUCUCUGGGUCUGACUGGGAGUCCAACGCUCGCUUUUCCUGUGCCCUCACCCACAUGACCCUCCCUUCUCCCCUCAGCAAGAGCAUCAGGAGAUCAGAAUGUGUGUAGAGUGUUGGAGACAGUCCACAGAGGAGACACAACUUUAAAUAGGACAGGGCUGAGCUGGCAGGACAAAGGUCAUUGUCAGCACUGAAUUUCUCUUCCUUCCUUCUCAGGAUUGCUCAGAGAAACAUCUGAGGUUUGGAUGUUAAAGCAUAUCAUUGGGAUAGUGGUGAGAGAACACCAUGUCAAAACUCAUACUGUCCUGGGAGUGUUUGAUGGGGACAGGAUUGCCUUGUGAUGUUAGCUGCACAAAUCAAUGUGAACCUCAGAAGUCUGUGCUUCAGUAACCAGAUCUCCUUUCUGCUCAGCCACCAGUUCCAAUUUAAGGUUUUGUCACUGUUUAA